RNAcentral lists this long non-coding RNA (1322 nucleotides) under Homo sapiens (human). Its description in RNAcentral is "long non-coding RNA NONHSAT189706.1". The record is from RNAcentral. Lineage: Eukaryota; Metazoa; Chordata; Mammalia; Primates; Hominidae.
CAGCCACCAGGAGCCCGUCCACCAGGAAGGCUAGGGGAACCCAGAGCCAGGUGUAUGGGGACAUCAGCCCCCCAAUUUGAGGACAGGGCCGGAGCAGAAGGGGCUGGAGAAUCUUCCUUUCAUCUAACAUAUUUAUUGAGCACCUACUAUGUACCAGGCCUUGUGCUAGACUCUGGGGAUAUGGAAAUGAGCAAAGUAGAUGUACCCCCGAAACUUGUGGACUAAUGGAGGAGACGGACCUUAAUCAGAUCGUCAUUCAAAGAUACUAUUACAAACUCAGCUCUAUUAUUUUCUUGCUGGGAGAAAAAGAAUCAGAGAUGCAGAGACCAAAACAAAAACAGGCAGAGAUAGAACGGACAGUAGACAAAAGAGAGAGAGACCGAGGCAGAGAUAGAGAAAAAAAGGCCCAGAGAGAGUCCCCUCAGGCCAACUUUGGUUUUCACUUCUCAGUUCUGAGAGCCGAGGAAGCAGGAAGGAGCUGUGAGAGACUGAGCUCUAACCUUGGCCAUCAAAGACAAGCUGUGCAGCUCUGGUUUUUUGAGGGCAGGACAUGGAGGGUCAGGCCCAGCUGGAGGCGCACCAAAGCCCAGAGAAAAUUCAGAACCACGUGAACUUGUUGGAUUUCAGCCCCUUGAAGCACAUGUUGCUAUUGCAGCUGCCUUGAUAACUGGGGGGACAGGAGGAGCACGGCUUUCCCAUCUUGUACGGGGACUCGCCAAUCCAGUUGCCCCUGGAAGAGAAAAGGACCCAGGGAGACAGAGGAGCAUUAGCCCCAGUGCCUUGUUUUCUCACCUUAAAUGAACACACCUUUGAGCAGAAAUAUAAUCUUUUUUCUCCAAACGUGAUUGUUGAGUGACCAUGAGUGAAAUCAGCUGAAGUGCUCAGAAAAAUACUCACUUCUGGUUUCCUAACAGGACUCAUUCAAUCAUUUAGUCAUUCAACAAACACUUCUGGAGCACCUAUUGAACAUCAGGAUUUGUGCCGGCUGCUGUCAGUCCACAGUUCUCAAAAGGCUACUAAUGACUUCAAGAACAUCAGAAUAAUACAAUAGAAAGAAUUUGGAAUUUGGAAUCAAAAGACUGAUUCUUCUGAACCAGCUCUACUACUUGUUGGCUUUGUGACAUUUGGUAAAUUACUCAACCUGCCUGAGCCUCAAUUUCUUAAUUUGUAAAAAGAAUGUCCUCCUAGGGUUCCCCCCUUUUUCCUUCUUUCUUUCAUCUCUUCAAUGAGAUAGUGUGAAAGUAGUUUGUAAAUGAUUAAAGGCUAUGUGACAGUAAAGAUAGAGUUUCACUCUUGUCAUCCAGGCUGGCUGGAUCUCGGCU